This 963-nucleotide ribosomal RNA is filed under the name uncultured bacterium. RNAcentral describes it as "bacterial SSU rRNA". It matches the Rfam family "Bacterial small subunit ribosomal RNA", at positions 9 to 873 of the family's 1533-position model. The record is from RNAcentral.
AGAGUUUGAUCAUGGCUCAGAUUGAACGCUGGCGGCAUGCCUUACACAUGCAAGUCGAACGGUAACAGGUCUUCGGAUGCUGACGAGUGGCGAACGGGUGAGUAAUACAUCGGAACGUGCCCGAGAGUGGGGGAUAACGAAGCGAAAGCUUUGCUAAUACCGCAUACGAUCUCAGGAUGAAAGCAGGGGACCGCAAGGCCUUGCGCUCACGGAGCGGCCGAUGGCAGAUUAGGUAGUUGGUGGGAUAAAAGCUUACCAAGCCGACGAUCUGUAGCUGGUCUGAGAGGACGACCAGCCACACUGGGACUGAGACACGGCCCACACUCCUACGGGAGGCAGCAGUGGGGAAUUUUGGACAAUGGGCGCAAGCCUGAUCCAGCCAUGCCGCGUGCAGGAUGAAGGCCUUCGGGUUGUAAACUGCUUUUGUACGGAACGAAAAGACUCUGGUUAAUACCUGGGGUCCAUGACGGUACCGUAAGAAUAAGCACCGGCUAACUACGUGCCAGCAGCCGCGGUAAUACGUAGGGGUGCGAGCGUUAAUCGGAAUUACUGGGCGUAAAGCGUGCGCAGGCGGCUAUGCAAGACAGAUGUGAAAUCCCCGGGCUCAACCUGAGAACUGCAUUUGUGACUGCAUGGCUAGAGUACGGAGAAGGGGGGGAAUGAAUUUCCGGCGUGGUAGCAGUGAAAUGCGUAAAUUAUGCCGGAGGAACCACCGAAUGGGCGAAGGCCAUCCCCUGGUAUCUGUACUGACCGCUCAUGCACGAAAGCGGUGGGGGAAGCAAAACAAGAAUUAGAUACCCCUGUAGUCCCACGCCCCUAAACGAUGUCCAGCUUGUUGUUAGGAACGGCUUGCUGGUCAGUACGAAGCUAACGCGUGAAGUCGACGGCUGAGAGAGUACCGCCGGCUAUGAUGAUCUUCGAUAGAUGACGGACCGUACAAGAUGCGAGGAUGGAUGUGCUUAC